RNAcentral lists this ribosomal RNA (457 nucleotides) under uncultured bacterium. RNAcentral describes it as "partial 16S ribosomal RNA". It matches the Rfam family "Bacterial small subunit ribosomal RNA", at positions 338 to 795 of the family's 1533-position model. The record is from RNAcentral.
CCUACGGGUGGCAGCAGUGAGGAAUAUUGGUCAAUGGCCGGAAGGCUGAACCAGCCAUGCCGCGUGAAGGUCAGUGCCCUAUGGGCGUUAAACUUCUUUUGUUCGGGAGCAAUAAUGGUCACGUGUGGCCAGACGAGAGUACCGUACGAAUAAGCAUCGGUUAACUCCGUGCCAGCAGCCGCGGUAAUACGUAGGUGGCAAGCGUUGUCCGGAUUUACUGGGUGUAAAGGGCGUGUAGCCGGGCUGACAAGUCAGAUGUGAAAUCCGGGGGCUAAACCCCCGAACUGCAUUUGAAACUGUUGGUCUUGAGUAUGGGAGAGGCAGGCGGAAUUCCUAGUGUAGCGGUGAAAUGCGUAGAUAUUAGGAGGAACACCAGUGGCGAAGGCGGCCUGCUGGACGACAACUAACGGUGAGGCGCGAAAGCGUGGGGAGCAAACAGGAUUAGAUACCCGUAGUC